UAUCAUUCGUUAUCGGAACUAGUUGAAUUUUUCUCUUCUUGAUAUGUUCAUAAUCGUUUUAACUAAGGGAUUGGAAGUCCACAAUGGCAUGCAUGCACACGAAAGCAUUAAGAUUUCAACUAUGUACGUGCAUUAAUGCAUGCAUCCUUUCUCCUCUAUAAAAGGCACUGCUACUCGGUUUGCUAGCACCGAGCAUUAAGCAGAAAGCAUUGGUAUGAGAAAAGAUGGGAAAAGAUGAUCCUCUGGUUUUGAGAAAAGAUGGGAAAGGUUUCCUUGUACCUUAGUGUGAUGCUACUACUAUUGAUGGUGGCUGAGUGUCGAAAAUUGGAGAAAGUUGAGUAUACUGAGAGCAUAAGAUGUGGUUUCGAUGGAGGGAGUGGAGGAGGAUUCUGUCAGGGUGGUGGUGCUAGAGGAGGCUUUGGAAGUGGGUCCGGUAGUGUGGAGGUUUAGCUGGCAAAUUUGGAGGUGGGUUUGGCGGUGGUUCUAGAGGACGGUUUGGAGUGGAGUAGGAUGCGGUGCUGGUGGUGGCUUUGGUGGUGGGCUGGUUCGGUGGAGGAAUUGGUGGUGGAAUUUGAUCCCAAAAUUUAAACCAUCUCAUGAAUUGCCAUGCCAUGCUUGAUAGUACAAAAUCAUGUAAUCACAGCUUUGAAUAAAUGAAGUUAUUGCUUGGCGCUUGAUUGGUGUGAAAAUAAUGUAUUCACUGCUUGACAAAAAAUGCAAUAAUCAAAUUACAGAAAUGUAGAUCUAUCUUGAAAAUUCAAA
This is a long non-coding RNA of Juglans microcarpa x Juglans regia, 762 nucleotides long. RefSeq lists it as uncharacterized. The record is from RefSeq and is a predicted model, not a curated record. The transcript has 2 exons. Lineage: Eukaryota; Viridiplantae; Streptophyta; Magnoliopsida; Fagales; Juglandaceae.